CUUGCACCAGUGGCUUCCCCGAGGCUCUCAGGCCCCCGGCCUCAGACUGAAGACUGCACUGCGGGCUUUCCUGGUUUUGAGGCUUUUGGACUUGGACUGAGCCACUACUAGCUUCUCUCUUUCCCUACCUGGCAGACAGCCUGUUGUGGGACUGCCUUCUAACCGUGUGAACCAAUUCUCUCUGGGAGCUUAUAGCUUCAUUGCACUGUGUGUGGCAUUUGGGUCCUGUUUGACAGCAAUGACUGCCUUUCUGUUUAGUGUCUGUGUGCUAUGAAGAUUGCACACAGGGGUCCAGAUGCAUCCUGUUUUGAGAAUGUUAAUGGAUACACCAGCUGCUGCUUUGGAUUUCACCCAUUGGUGGUAGUGGACCCGCUGUUUGGAAUGCAGACAAUUUAAGUGAAGACAUAUCCAUAUAUGUGGCUCUGUUACAAUGGUGAAAUCUACAACCAUAAGAAGCCAAAAAUGUGAGUAUGACAUACAAAGAGAAAUACAUCAAGGACUUUUCAUCCUCAUAGUUUGCCAGUGAUGCUGGAGAGUGUCAGAAUUGGUGCAGCACCAGUUUGAAUUUGAAUACCAGACCAAAGUGGAUGGUGAGAUAAUCCUUCAUCUUUAUGACAAAGGAGGAAUUGAGCAAACAAUUUGUACGUUGGUUGGUGUGUUUGCAUUUGUUUUACUGGAUUCUGCCAAUAAGAAAGUGUCCCUGGACAGAGAUACAUAAGGAGUCAGACCUUUGUUUAAAGCAGUGACAGAAGAUGGAUUUUUGGCUGUGCGUUCAGAAGCUAAAGCUCUGCGACUGUGGUGCCUGCAGCCAUUGGAACCAGCUCUGCACGGCUCAGACCUGGGUGAUGAGGACACAGCUUUGCAGGUGGGCAGCCACAUCCCCAGGGGGAGACUGUGGGCCUGUGGCAGGGUAGGGGCAACCAGUGCAGGGGCUCCCCAUUGUUGCCCCUGAGCUCCUGGGGCUUGUGGAGAAAGACAGGUGGAUGCACACAUACUGCAGCUCCCUGGAUCUGAGCCUUGGUUUCCCUACCUGUGAAAUGGGCACCCAUGGCAGCUCAGAAGUGUCUGGGAGCAUCCCCUGUGGGGGAAGGUGUGGGGGGCUGCUGGGGCACAGUCAUGGGGAACCCCAGUCCCCCUCUCCAUGUGCUUCCCUCAAUGCUCCCUGAUGCCAGCAGUCCUGCCCCCGAACAGAAAGGGGCAUUCCUGUGAGUUCCUUGUGUGGGGGACUGGUCACAGAGACUCCCCAAGUGCAGGGCAGGGUGGAGGGAGGCUGAGGGGUGGUUGAAUGGACAGGAGAAGAGCUCUCUCCAGUCCCUUGGGUCUGGGUGGCCUGGGGAGCAUCCAUUUGGGCAGGCAGCUGGUGGGGCUGGUGGCUGAGCCACUGUGGCUCGGGGACCCCAGGCCAGGACAGAGUAGGGUGGGCAGGGAGAGCAGAGUGCGAGCAUAUGGGGCAGGACAGGUGUCUCCUGGACAGAAAGAGCCCUGGUCACUCAUGGCUGCAGCAUAGCCAUGGCGACAGGAAAGUGCUGCUGUACAUUGUGCUCCUGGGGCUGGCUCCCAAUGGACACCCAACAGCAUCUCCCCCAUUGUACUGUGGGAUGCUGGCAGUGGUGCUGGGCACUGGGGUAAGAGCCUUGGCAAGCCCUUCGCUCCCUGGGUGUGAGACUUUGGGCUCCUGGAUGCCUGGGUUUCUGUGUCCUAUUUUUCCCAUGGAAGAUGUUUGGGGUGCUCCCAGGAAAUGGGGAGGGCCCUGGGGGGUCAGGAUUGUAUUAUUAAAGCCAGAAAGUCUGGGGUUCCAUUUUUAGCACAAGGCAGGCAGCCCAUGAGCCCCAGCCCAGUGGCCAGCCUGUGUGGGAGGGGAGUGGGGGUCUGAAGGAGUGAGGC
Molecule: long non-coding RNA, 1884 nt
Filed under: Homo sapiens (human)
Lineage: Eukaryota; Metazoa; Chordata; Mammalia; Primates; Hominidae
Description: HSALNT0402771
Source: RNAcentral